RNAcentral lists this long non-coding RNA (1126 nucleotides) under Olea europaea subsp. europaea. The record is from RNAcentral. Lineage: Eukaryota; Viridiplantae; Streptophyta; Magnoliopsida; Lamiales; Oleaceae.
UCGCAUGUUUGCUAGACACAUCCGAUCCCAAGCCCGAAAAAGGAGGAGGGUUUGAGUCAACGAUGGGAUCUCAAUGUUUUUUAAUUAUCUCUGCAUUUGCGUUUUUUCUGCUUGUUAUUAGGUUACCUUUACUCUCAACUCUUUCUGAUUGCGCGCAUCUUUUCUCUGUUGCUGGUUCAACUUUUGGAAUAUUAAUUACAUUUGAGUGUUGAAGGCUUUAUUCUUGUAGUUGGGUAUAGAAAGGAGUCUAUGAGCUGCUGUCUUUAGAGAAUUGAAUGAUCUAGGGCUAACAUAAUAAAUUUUGAUUUUCAUUCCUUGACUCUACUUGUGAAUUUCACCUUAUUUUUGGCAGUUAGAUGUAACUGGUUCUAGACUAGCUGUGUUGGCUGGCCAUACAACUUUUGCAGUCGAAUGCAAAAUGAAUUCUUCAUUUGCCAGGUUGCACGAACCAUUUUAGGUGUGCUGUCUCUUAAGAGUAUGUUUUACUUGCCCUAUUAUUUAUCCCAUAAUCUGUUUCUUGCUUUGAAAUAAGUGACUUAUUAUUUUUAAUUUAAACUAUGUGCUCAUUGGUAUGGGGAAUGAGAACUUCUAACCAACCAUGUUCAUGAUAUCCACGGAAGUCAAAACUGUAAGAUGCCACAUUGUGAAUAUAUUAAUUUCAAAGGGCGUUAUUUAUUAAAUGGAAAAGUGUUCUUGGUUGUUCUGCAUGUGACACUGUAUUCACAAAAGUUGCUUUAUUGUGUCAAUUUAUGUUUUUAUCUAAUAAUAGGCUCUUGUAAUUCCGUCUGUGUCAAUCCAUAUCUAAGAUUAGAUAACAUUUAGGAAAAUGGUAUUAGCUCGAGUUACCUACCUUAGAGAACUCGUGGCAGUCUUAUUGACACACCUUUGAUUAGUUAAAAUUAUUAAUGUAAAUUGUUAGAUAACUUACUAGUAUAGCAGCGAAAUGAAAUAGUCAUUUAACUACAUUAAAUGUAUGUAAGAAAAUGCCCUUGAUCUGUUUAGUUCAGUUCUGUGUGAUGUUUUCUGGAAAUUUUCUUCGACUCAAUUUGGCAUACAGUCAUAGAAUUCAUUAAUUUGCUUGUACAGUCCAAAUUUUAUUAGAAUCAAUAAUUAUGAUUAACAUGCA